This 76-nucleotide transfer RNA is filed under the name Alphaproteobacteria bacterium. RNAcentral's name for it is "tRNA-Asn". It matches the Rfam family "tRNA". Rfam says of the family: Transfer RNA (tRNA) molecules are approximately 80 nucleotides in length. RNAcentral also lists the same sequence under 5 other names. Lineage: Bacteria; Pseudomonadati; Pseudomonadota; Alphaproteobacteria. The record is from RNAcentral.
UCCCCGGUAGCUCAGUUGGUAGAGCAAAUGACUGUUAAUCAUUGGGUCGGCGGUUCGAGCCCGUCCCGGGGAGCCA